The sequence is a regulatory RNA element, 155 nucleotides long. It matches the Rfam family "Ribosomal protein L10 leader". Rfam says of the family: This family is a putative r-protein leader autoregulatory structure found in B. subtilis and other low-GC Gram-positive bacteria. The record is from Rfam.
UCAUUAUUUAGUAAUAUACUAAAGACAGUAACUGGUGAAUUAACCUUAAUUUGUUACCGAGGUAUACAACAAAUAUUUUAUCUUUAUAAAGUUGUAGAUCUUAACAUAACUUGUCUUUUGUAUUUUUCAAAAGGGCAAGUUAUUUUUGUAUAUUA